Molecule: non-coding RNA, 73 nt
Organism: Ixodes scapularis (black-legged tick)
Lineage: Eukaryota; Metazoa; Arthropoda; Arachnida; Ixodida; Ixodidae
Source: Rfam
CCCUGGUUAGCUUAGUUGGUAGAGCGCUCCACUUGUAAUGGAGAGGUCCCGGGUUCGAUACCCGGACCAGGCG